UCUCCAUUGACUGUUUGGAUGUUCUCGGACGUUCAAAGCUACAUCCAACAAAUUGGUAGCUUUGUACUCCGAUGCCAUUCAGAUAGUUAUGAGCCAUG
This is a microRNA precursor of Caenorhabditis elegans, 98 nucleotides long. NCBI's taxonomy places the organism in Eukaryota, Metazoa, Nematoda, Chromadorea, Rhabditida, Rhabditidae. The record is from Ensembl.